RNAcentral lists this ribosomal RNA (572 nucleotides) under uncultured bacterium. RNAcentral's name for it is "partial 16S ribosomal RNA". It matches the Rfam family "Bacterial small subunit ribosomal RNA", at positions 355 to 919 of the family's 1533-position model. The record is from RNAcentral.
UGGGGAAUUUUGGACAAUGGGCGAAAGCCUGAUCCAGCAAUGCCGCGUGUGUGAAGAAGGCCUUCGGGUUGUAAAGCACUUUUGUCCGGAAAGAAAUCCUUGGCUCUAAUACAGUCGGGGGAUGACGGUACCGGAAGAAUAAGCACCGGCUAACUACGUGCCAGCAGCCGCGGUAAUACGUAGGGUGCAAGCGUUAAUCGGAAUUACUGGGCGUAAAGCGUGCGCAGGCGGUUUGCUAAGACCGAUGUGAAAUCCCCGGGCUCAACCUGGGAACUGCAUUGGUGACUGGCAGGCUAGAGUAUGGCAGAGGGGGGUAGAAUUCCACGUGUAGCAGUGAAAUGCGUAGAGAUGUGGAGGAAUACCGAUGGCGAAGGCAGCCCCCUGGGCCAAAUACUGACGCUCAUGCACGAAAGCGUGGGGAGCAAACAGGAUUAGAUACCCUGGUAGUCCACGCCCUAAACGAUGUCAACUAGUUGUUGGGGAUUCAUUUCCUUAGUAACGUAGCUAACGCGUGAAGUUGACCGCCUGGGGAGUACGGUCGCAAGAUUAAAACUUAAAGGAAUUGACGGGGU